CUAAAGUUGCGUGAUUGUGCUGUGUGAAACGCGUAAAAGGUAGAGGUGCACGGGAUAUAGCUUAGGUUUAAGUCCCAGGGGAAGAAACAGGCUAAGAAAAGCAGAGCUUCUUUUUCGUUCAUCGAAGAAGUGCGUAGAUUCUUCUUUGUCUGUUUUUCCAAGCUGAGGGAUCUGGCUUGGGUUAGAGUCCCAGUGGAAGGAACGUGCUAUGAAACACGGAGCUUCUUUUUUGGUAAUCAAAGAAGAGCGUAGAUUUUUCUUUGUCCGUUUUUCCGGCCAAAGAACAGCUUGGGUUUAAGUCCCAGUGGAAGGAACGGGCUAAGAAAAGACAGAGUUUCUUUUUCCUAAUUGAAAAAGGGCGUAUAUUCUUUUUUUGUCCAUUUUUCCAUCCUGGAUAGGCAUAAAAAAUAUAAAGCGCUGGAGUUUGUGUGACUGGUAGGAUAAAUUGACUCUGUCAUGUAACAUGGAGUGUGGGGAAGGAACAAAUGGUGCAAAAAAGUGAGUAUGGAUUGCUCCCAGGAAUAAAUUAGCGGGGCCGACAUUCCAAAUUUUAACAGCAGAUGGUGUAAAAUCUGAGUUAGGUAUUAGUGAGUAAAUUGGCAAAGCUGAAAUUCCAAAAGAUGGGGCCAAAUCGUUGCCAGAAGCCAAAAUUGAACGUGGUCUGAUCAAUGGAACACACACGAGGGCACAAAGGUGGUUUUUAUUUUCUUUUAAUUGUAUUUUAUUUUACUUGCUUGGCUGAAAUAUAUUCUGUAACCGCUUAAAGCAAUAUUAUCACAGAAUUAGACUAAGCUGCCCACCCUUAUGAGAAUAGGGAUGUGUUAAAAAGGGUAGGAAGAGAUGAGUUCUUGUUUUCUUUUAAUUUUAUUUUAUUUUCUUUAAAUUGUAUUUUAUUUUAAUUGCUUGGCUGGAAUGUAUUCUGUAACCGCUUAAAGCAAUAUUAUCACAGAAUUAGACUAAGCUGCCCACCCUUAUGAGAAUACGGGUGUGUUGAAAGAAAAGAAAAGAAAUCAAUUCAAAGGCUUUGAUUUAUUUUGAUUUAAUGGUUGACCAAAGUCUGACUUUGAAGUAUUGGUUUUAUAAAAGGGGAAGUAAAGAAAAGAGGAAGUAGGGUGCUUGCCAGGGGGGUUUCCACAGAAUUUCGGUGGAAAGAGUGAAACGGAAAUGAGCUGCCCGGAAAAACCGCAGGGGAUGAGCGUGGGAAGCUGGACAGUAUAGAAGCCGUAGGCGUGGGAAACUGGACAGUAUAGAAGCCGUGGGCGUGGGAAACUGGACAGUAUAGAGGCCAGCGGAAAAGGGAAGGGCCAGAGAAGUCUAUAAAAAGGUCACCUUGGACAUCUACGGGGCUCUCUCCUGGACCGCGGUCAGAACGAACAGAAGCCGGUAGGAGUUUCAAGACCUUUUUCCAAAGCCUUCGAGAUUUUUGUGUUAGACGCAAGAUUGCUGGCACGGAUUAACUUGGAUUUACUCAAAAGAAUUGGACUGGACAACUUUGCUUGAGAAACUAGGUCAUCGGACAGUUAGUCUGGGACAGCUGUCUCCCGGUCGGCGAACCGUUAAUAAGCGCACAACGUUGAGCUGGUACGACGUCUCCUCAACCCUGAGCUCAUCACCGAUGAGAGGUGCUCUUCCGGACGGCGCUAGUGGAUGGACUUCCGCCAGACGUGAAGAAGCAGCUGAUGUCAGACCCUGACAUUCUGGUUUGUGCCGAAGCACGAUUUAAACGUCAUCUUUUGUAUCACUGCAGAACGUUCACUGAGUCACAAGCUAAAGUUGAGAACGAGACAGACGCAUUAUCAAAACAGUUGCUGAAAUUACAAUUGGCAAAGAUGCAUGGUGAAGCUAAACAGUCAAAAUCACAGAAAAAGGAAAUGCAAAUGUCACAGGCUCCUCAGGUGGUUGGGCGCGGGAGGGGCCAGUUCCGGGGUGGAUACAGGGGCCGGGGAGUGAGUGCGCCUGCUUACCAGGGGAGGGCGACAUAC
Syngnathus typhle (broad-nosed pipefish) is the source of this 1982-nucleotide long non-coding RNA. RefSeq lists it as uncharacterized. The transcript is spliced from 3 exons. Lineage: Eukaryota; Metazoa; Chordata; Actinopteri; Syngnathiformes; Syngnathidae. The record is from RefSeq and is a predicted model, not a curated record.